GUACACCAGACAGUCCAUCACAAGCAGCCUAAGCGCUACAACGAAUAACAGUCUCAAUCAGUACGUCUGUAUUUCUCUGAUUUCUACGUUUUAACAUCAGCGAAUGUUGCGAGAUUACCACGUUCCGGACUGUCACAGCAGAAGUCAGUGCGGUUCCGCAGCAGUAACGGACGGGCUUGAUCUUACCUGGGGUUCAAAACAGGCUUUACUCAUACAGGGUCAAGAUAUGGAUGGCUCUAGAACAGGGUCAAGACAUGGAUGGCUCUAUAACAGGAUCAAGACAUGGAUGGCUCUAAACUAGGAUCAAGAUAUGGAUGGCUCUAGAACAAGAUCAAGAUAUGGAUGGCUCUAGAACAGGAUCAAGAUAUGGAUGGCUCUAGAACAGAAUCAAGACAUGGAUGGCUCUAGAACAGGAUCAAGAUAUGGAUGGCUCUAGAACAGAAUCAAGACAUGGAUGGCUCUAGAACAGGAUCAAGAUAUGGAUUGCUCUAGAACAGGAUCAAGAUAUGGAUGGCUCUAGAACAGGAUCAAGAUAUGGAUGGCUCUAUAACAGGAUCAAGAUAUGGAUGGCUCUAGAACAGGAUCAAGACAUGGAUGGCUCUAUAACAGGAUCAAGACAUGGAUGGCUCUAAACUAGGAUCAAGAUAUG
RNAcentral lists this long non-coding RNA (649 nucleotides) under Salmo trutta (river trout). RNAcentral describes it as "lncRNA (ENSSTUG00000001865.1)". The record is from RNAcentral. Lineage: Eukaryota; Metazoa; Chordata; Actinopteri; Salmoniformes; Salmonidae.